Molecule: RNase P RNA, 374 nt
Filed under: Staphylococcus marylandisciuri
Lineage: Bacteria; Bacillati; Bacillota; Bacilli; Caryophanales; Staphylococcaceae
Description: RNase P RNA component class B
Rfam family: Bacterial RNase P class B
About the family: Ribonuclease P (RNase P) is a ubiquitous endoribonuclease, found in archaea, bacteria and eukarya as well as chloroplasts and mitochondria. Its best characterised activity is the generation of mature 5'-ends of tRNAs by cleaving the 5'-leader elements of precursor-tRNAs.
Source: RNAcentral
UAUUUAGGGUAAUCGCUAUAGAAAUAUAGAGGAAAGUCCAUGCUCACACAGUCUGAGAUGACUGUAGUGUUCGUGCUUGAUGAAACUAUAAGUCAAGGCAAUUAAUUGACGGCAACGAAAUAAUCUAAGUCUUACGAUAGGAUUAGAGUAGUUUGAAAGUGCCACAGUGACGGAGCUUUUACGGAAACGUAAAAGGUGGAACGCGGUAAACCCCUCGAGUGAGCAAUCCAAAUUUGGUAGGAGCACUUGUUAAGCGAAAAUCAACGCAUUAACAAGACGUUAGUAGUUGCUAACGUAGACAGAUGGUUACCACCAGCGUACAAGUGUAGCUAGUACACGUAGCAGUACAAAGGUACAGAACAUGGCUUAUAUAA